Microcebus murinus (gray mouse lemur) is the source of this 4110-nucleotide non-coding RNA. NCBI's taxonomy places the organism in Eukaryota, Metazoa, Chordata, Mammalia, Primates, Cheirogaleidae. The record is from RefSeq and is a predicted model, not a curated record.
UGUCUCAAAAAUAAAUAAAUAAAUAAUAAAUAAAUAAAAGCAAAUCUGUGAUAUGGUCAUCCCGCUUUGUUAAUAGUAUUUCUCAGUGUCAUUGUGAAGACAUAGUGAAGAUAGUGUUAUAAAAGUUUAAAGAGCCAUAGCCAUGUUGUUGUCAUUGUUAUUCUGUCAUUUCCUGUUUAAAUCCCUUCAAAGACUGCCCAUUUGGCUUAGGACAAGUGACUUGACCCUGCUCUUCUUCUCCACUCUUCAUUUUGUAACACCCUACUCUUUCACUGUGCUUUUAGCCCCACCAGUCUGUCCUAGACUUGUUAGGGGUUUUCUCCCUCACUGGGCUUCUACAGACAGCAUGCUUUUGAAUGAGGUGGAUUUCCUCUCUCUCUGCCUAGCUAAGUCCUGCAUCAUCAUCUCCUUUUAACAGACAUUCACCUUCCCUGAAACUCUAAUGCAAGUUAAACUCCUCAUUAUGUGGGCUCAGAGAGCCUCGUUCUUUUCCUUCUCAGCACAUAUCACAAUGUAAAAGAUAUAUGUAUGGUGAUAACAUGUUUAAUAUACUUCUUCUCUGGACACUAGCACCAAGAACAGUGAGCAGGUCUGCUCUGUUCACCCCUAAGAAGUUGAAUUAUUAUGUUACUUGUUUUGCAGAGUCCAUCCUGCUUCACUCUGUUACUCUUAUAAAUGAGAAUAUCGCAGGCAGAGUUGAAAUAUAAGAAGCUGAGGUUGGCUUUCUUUCCUCUUCCUGAAUGGAAAUUUUGUGUAGUUUUAUAUACCUAAAUAUUAGUAUUUUUUCCAGAUUAUUAUUAUGUUGAAACAAUAGAAACGUAUAAGACUCUGAUGUCUCUUUUUGCCAAAGAACAAUAAAUUGUGCACAUGUUGAUCACUGAGGAAGAAGGCUUUGUAUUAUAGAAAAACUUAAAAUUUGUGGUUUUUCUUAAAUUCAUUAUUACUAAACCUUCUAACAUCAUCACUAUUUAAACUUAAUGGUGACCCCUAGUGGAUACUCUGCAUAACAGACUGUUGGAGAGAUCAGGAACUUCCAAACUGAAGCUGGUACUGUGUAAUAAUCAGCAAGUGAUCUUUUUCUUUGGAUCUAUUAUACAAGGCUUAGAAGUUAUGAAGAAGAAUUACUUUGUGAGACUAGAAGCUUCCAUCUUAGCAUUUAUCUGUAUUUAAUGUCUCUUAAAAUUACUUUGAUUCUGUAUAUGAUUAUCUUUCUAUAAACAAAGCAAUAAAAAUGGUAAUGAAAUAAGUACCUAAUCAGUACCAUAAUCCAAAUACUUAUGGAAUUUUUAUGUUCCAUUUGAUCUUUAUAAUAAUUGUAUAUAAAUAGUUUUUAUAUAUAGUUAUAUUGUGUACAUAAUAUUUUAUGGUUUUUUAUCACCUGACAUUAUUUCAUUUAGACUGAAGUGUCUGCAUAGUCUACGUAUUUUUUUUAAUUUUUAAUGGCAUUUAAUGGCAUUAACACAUGUGGUUAGUUCCAUUUUCGCUUUUGGCUUUUCCUUACCAUGGUAGUGAAACUGUGCACAUCUUAUUCAGACACAGGAAUCUAUAUUAGCACCCCAUGUAAUUUCUGAGAUCUGGUGGGAGUGUGAUACCAUAGCCAGAGAAUGCUUCACCUUGAGGCAGUAUCUUGCCUGCCCAGCUGACAUUACAUUUGCUGGUAAAUAAUGCCCUGCUGUCCUCCCAUGCCCCUAGACUCUCUCACUCUUAUCUGUGAUGAAGCCUGAAGUACAGGUUGAGUAUCCCUUAUCUGAAAUGCUUGAGACCAGAAAUGUUUCAGAUUUUGGAAUAUUUGCAUAUAUAUACCAGUUGAAUAUCUGAAAUGGAAAAAUCCAAAAUGUGAAAUGCUCCAAUGAGCAUUUCUUCCCAGUGUCAGAUAGGAGCUCAACAAGUUUCAGAUUUGGGAGCAUUUCAGAUAUUGGAUAUUCAGAUUUGGAGAGCCCAACCUGUACAUUGUUUUCUACCCCUUGUUCAUGAUAAAUUGUUACCCUUGAAAGUAAGCUAAGAUGGGAAUAGCCUUCCAAAAUUCUUUUAAUCCAUCCAGGACAUAGUUUCUUCCCUCUCACCCCGAAAUAUGCAUUGAUUUUCCAGUUGCUUUUAGGGAAAGGAAAAUUAGAUAAUUGAUUUUUAGAAGGUUAGAAAAUCCUGCUCAUAGUGUCAUAAUUUACCUAGAAAGCUAACAACUGAAUAUUACCUUAUUUUGGGUAGGAAUCUGCUUAUGUGGUUAUGACCUUUAAGUAUAAUUUUUAUUUUCUUCUUUACACUUAGCUGUUUCCUUGGUGUUCUGUAGUGAACAUCUUUUAUUUUUAUAUUCAGAAAAAUAACUUUUCUAAAUUAUUGAAAACUUGUAAAACCCAGGAAAGCCUAUGGAAAAAUAUAUAAAUCAUCCAAAAUCUCAUCACGUAGGAUAAUUGCUAUUCAUAUUUUACUGUAUUGGCUUCCAGUAUUUUCAAUGCACAUUUAAGUGUAUUUGUGAAUCUUAUAUUUUAAAAAGAACUACGGUAUGUGAAAAUAAAAAUUCAUAAAGUUUACAUAAAUUAGAGUGAUUAUUCACAUCUCAAGAAGAUUGACUACAAGGUUUUGUUACUAAGCUCUCCUGUUAUAUUUGAAGUGAUUCAAUUCCUAGAAAAUUGCUCUACUUUUUUUUUCUUUCACAACUUUUAAAAAUAGCCUCUUGUCAUCUUGAAGCAGGUGUAUUACACUUUUGAACCAAGGUUGUUCUAUCAGAAAUCCAUGUUUUUGUGGCGUUGUGCUUUGGGCACCUGAGGAAUACUCACUGAAUGUGCUUGUCAGCCACUUACUGAAACUGCAGUUGAGAGUCAAUAAGGAAACCCGGACGCCGCCUCCCCUCUCUUUUCUCCAGGAGGCCAGAAAGAUGGCGGACAUUCAGACGGAGCGUGCCUACCAAAAGCAGUCCACUAUCUUUCAAAACAAGAAGAGGGUCUUGCUGGGAGAAUCUGGCAAGGAGAAGCUCCCUUGGUACUACAAGAACAUCGGUCUGGGCUUCAAGACUCUCAAAGAGGCCAUUGAGGGCAUCUACAUUGACAAGGAAUGCCCCUUCACUGGUAACGUCUCCAUCUGAGCGCAGAUCCUGUCUGGUGUGGUGACCAAAAUGAAGAUGGAGAGGACCAUUGUCAUCUGGCGAGACUAUCUCCACUGCAUCCGCAAGUACAAUCGCUUUGAGAAGCGCCACAAGAACAUGUCUGUGCACCUGUCCCCCCUGCUCAGGGACGUCCAGAUUGGUGACAUUGUCAUGGUGGGCGAGUGCUGGCCCCUAAGCAAGACAGCGCACUUCAGUGUGCUCAAGGUCACCAAGGCUGCCGGCACCAAGAAGCAGUUCCAGAAGUUCUGAGACUGGAUGUCUGCCCAUUCCCCAAAACGAAAUGAAGUUAUUUUCUCAUUCAAAAGAAAAAAAAGAAACUGCAGUUGACUUUUUGGUUUUAUUUCUGGCCAACUAUAAUAAUGAAAUGUUCAUCGUGAUUUUAGACCCAAAAGAGACCUGGUCUGUUUUGGGUCAGGAUGACUAACGUCCUGAGGAAACUGAGAUAAACAUUUGCAGAGCAUCAUAUUAAUAUUGCUUGGUGAAAAGCAUGUUGUGAGGCUUUUUUUUUUUUUUGGUGCCAGUGCAGUAGAUCUCUUGUCUGUCAUCUGACUCUCAGUUCUCAUCAGAUGUCUUUAUUCGUGUUGUAUUUCCUUGUGUUUUAUGUGUAAUAACCUCUAGAUAAUCCUGAGCAGAAAUGUUCAUUUUCUCUAGUUCUUCCUCAAACAAAUGUUUUCAACUACCAGUUCCCUUAUCACAUCCCUAUCAUUACUUUGUAAUAAUUUUUAUUCUUUAGCCCACAUUGUCUUCUUUCUCCUAUUCUAAUUAAUUACAUUGAAAAACACAGAAGCAUAGGUGAGAGAGGAAUGGUAAAAAUAAAAUACAUAAAAAAUAAAAUACAUUUUGCGCCCAUAUUUUGUGAAGUAAGAAUCCAUAUUCUUUUCAUUCUUUAUUAGCUGUCUAAUUUGAAGGCACCAUGUUUCUUAGCAAGGUGGUUUCGUAUGUCCUGGCAAAUCUGCUUAUUUAAUUAAUAAAAUAAUCAGUGAUAGAUAUUAGUUAUAUAUUCAUUAUUA